GACAGAUGCAAAGUUUCCUGACUACCAAGCAGGAACGGAGCGUGCCUCAACACAUGUGGUGACUGCUAUAGCUGGUGCUAAUAUUAUUUAUGAAUCAG
This 98-nucleotide non-coding RNA is filed under the name marine eukaryotic metagenome. RNAcentral's name for it is "Pyrrolysine insertion sequence mttB". It matches the Rfam family "Pyrrolysine insertion sequence mttB". The record is from RNAcentral.